RNAcentral lists this ribosomal RNA (257 nucleotides) under uncultured bacterium. RNAcentral's name for it is "partial 16S ribosomal RNA". It matches the Rfam family "Bacterial small subunit ribosomal RNA", at positions 524 to 776 of the family's 1533-position model. The record is from RNAcentral.
UACGUAGGGCGCAAGCGUUGUCCGGAAUUAUUGGGCGUAAAGAGCUCGUAGGCGGUUUGUCGCGUCUGCUGUGAAAACCUAAGGCUCAACCUUGGGCUUGCAGUGGGUACGGGCAGACUAGAGUGCGGUAGGGGUGACUGGAAUUCCUGGUGUAGCGGUGGAAUGCGCAGAUAUCAGGAGGAACACCGGUGGCGAAGGCGGGUCUCUGGGCAGUAACUGACGCUGGAGGAGCGAAAAGCCGUGGGGGAGCGAACAGG